AUCCGGCUGACGAGUACUAAAUAGGACGAAAUACGAGUCCUGGAU
Non-coding RNA from Schistosoma mansoni, 45 nucleotides. The record is from Rfam. NCBI's taxonomy places the organism in Eukaryota, Metazoa, Platyhelminthes, Trematoda, Strigeidida, Schistosomatidae.